CACCGCGUUCUCGGCGCGCUGCGUCCGCGGCGUGGCCGGCGUUCGACGGCGGGGGCGGGGGAGCGGCCCGCGGCGGGCGCGAAAACCCGGCGCGGAGUCUCCCGGGCGGCCGGAGCGGGCUCUCCGUGCAGCCCGGCCCCAGCGCCCCCUCCCCUCAACCCUAACGACCCCGCGUCUCCCGGGCACGGGACCCGCCCCUGGCGGACAGGCCUCCGGCCGAGCGCCUCAGGCGGAGUCGGGUCCCGCUCCCCUCGCGCGCACGCGCCCUGCGCGCCCCCCGCGACCCUGAGGGACCCUUGACAGGGUGACAUUGAAAGUAACGGCAGUGUUCGUGCUUCCCCAAACUCCCUCCCCCCGGGCCGGGCCGGGCGCGGGCUCCCCGGGGCCCCAGCCCAUCCCCCGCGCCGGCGGGCACCGGGACAGGGCGGAUGACUCGGCAGAUCGCGGCUUCCGGCCGGACGCGGCGGCGGCGCGCCCGCCCCCGACAAGGUGCUCGGGCCCGGCUGCCCGCCGCCGGCCAGGAAGGCGGGAAUGCCUCCCGGCCUCGUCAGACCCCCGGCGCUGACAGGGCAGAACCUUCCAGAUUGUUCUAGCCCGGCUGUGCGAUCGCCUGGCCUUCCGCCUGGGACCUUUGUCCCCGAUGAUAACCGAGGAGCCCCCCGAAUGUCAGCUCUGUCGCUGUGCAGCUGCGCUCGGAAAUUUCACGUUUCAGAGAUUUAGGUCAAGGCUCAGACAGACGCUGAGUGAGUCUCGGCCCUGUGUGUUUCUGGGGAAAUAACCCUCAGUAUCCCACACGCGAUAUUUAAUUCCAGAGGCAAAUCCCAUUUUGAUUAAAGCGGAGAAAAGUGUCUUAAAACACGUGAGCACGGUGCAGAGGUAAAGCAGGUCUGUGAGAGCUGGCGGUGAGAAGGCCCCCUCGUGCCCCCGUGCUGCAGGCCGCUCCUUCUGGACUCUUCUAGAAGUACUCCCUGUUUCUACAAAUGAGCAGGAGGGAGGGCAUUUUAAUUUCCGCCCUGGAAGCUUCAGGAAGAAAACAGAAAGGCCGCUGACUGAAAGCUGUUGCCAUCAGGAGAAGACCACACUCCUGUUCUAAAUUCUGAGCACUUUAAUAUUUAAGCGUUCUCCCUGAGAUGGGAAUCAAGACGGAACUGCCCUGCGUCUCCCCGGGGAAGCCGUGUACGUGUGUAUUUAUGAAGAAGGGCUGAGGGACGCCGAGCCAUGGGCGCCGUGUGAGCCAAUUAAUCACAACCAGCUAGGGGUCGAGAGAGGAAGUUUAAUUCCGGCAAAUCGGAAGAUGGGUGACUAAGGUCUCAAAAACCCGUCUUCAAGGAUUCCAGGGUCUCGAGGCAAAUAUAGGGAACGGGCAGCGAGGAGGGGUGCGGGCAUCACGUUGCUCCCUUCUGCCCGCUGUGGUGGAGGCCUAGUGGGUGUGCCUCCCGCCUGUGGGCAGCCCGUGCCUGGAGGGAAACUCACAGAACAAAGUUUGAGUUUGUGAAGCUGUCAGGGAGCACCCACGUCAAGCGGAGGCCAUAAACCAGGAGGGCGUGCGAAUGCUUGUGCAGAGUACGUGCAGAGCGGCGAGUGGUCACACGGAGGAGGGGCUGGGGCCACUUAGCACAACAAGAUGGCCUCACUCAUGCUCACUUCCAUGAGCGGUGCUGAAGAUGCUUUACCCUCUGUGAUUUUUAACCUUGUCCAAAGAGAAUGAAUUUAUUAGUAGGAAAUUAAAAUAAAUGGUAAAAAUAGAAUUCAUUGUUCAGGAAAGCAGGAGACGCCAGCGACUGCCAAUAAAGAUUUGGGUGAAGGUUAUUUCUUUCUAAAUUUCUGGAAAGAGGUUUUAAAGGAACACCAUGCAGAGGCUCUUUAUGAGGUUAUUUCUCCCUAAAUUCCAGGGAGAAGUUUUCAAAGGAACGAAAACUGAGGUUCUUUCUCCGGUGGCCAGGCCUCACUUCAAACCACACCUUGUUUGCUUUCGGCUGUUGCUCGGCUGCAAGCCUUGUGAUUCAUGUCGUUUAAGGGCUGAGUCACACGCUUUGUGACGUGGCUUCUUUCGGAGUCCAAAAGGCAUGGAGAAAAACAGGCCUGAUUUCUGAGGGCGAGGAGGGGGGAGAGCGUCUCAGGGGGCGGGGAGAGGCCCAGGGUCAGCUCCGAAGAGAAAACAACAUUCUUCGGAGCUGAGAACACUGAUUUUUUUUCUCUAGCAGAAAAUCUUCUCUGAAAACGUUUGCAUCCCCUAAUUUAAGUCCAAGAGUGAGUUUUUGUUGAAGCAAAUAGAAGUAAACAUUUGUCCCAGGGCACUGAGCGAGAGAGGGGAGGCGGCGCUGACCUCCCCCAAAGAGAGGGACUGGUGUGCCUCUGGAGCAGCGCUUCUCAACUGGGAAUCAUUUUUGCCCCUCCGUGGACACCUGGCAACGUCUGGAGGCGUUUUUGCCUGUCACAACUGUGGUGGUGCUUGGUGGGGGUGGGGGGCGCUGCUAGCAUCUAGUGGUAGAGGCCAGGGAUGCCAUGAAACUUCCGACAGUGGACAGGCCCCCGCGACACAGAAUCACCAGGCCCUAAAUGUCCGUAAUUUGGUUGAGGAACCCUGCUCUAGAGAGGAUUUUUGUUGUUGUUAUUGCCACUGCUUUUCCCUUUGCUGAGAAGGGCUCCCAAGGUCUAAAUGUCCCGCUCGGACUCGGGAAUCGGGAAUCAGGUACCAAGUCACGCUCCUAAAACCUGAACGCCUCUGACUCAGAAUGCAGUGUGCUGGAAGGUGCGAGAAGCUGGAUGAGUCCCUGGAUCCAUUUUCAGUUCUUUCCGCCCACACAGAUCCGUCCUUUGCAGGCGCCCCAGAAGAAAUUGCUUCAGAGCUGGCACCAAUGGGAAAGUGACAGAGGCCAGCAACAGGGCGGGAUUGGCGGGCAGAUCGGGCACGUGAUGGGCUGAGCUCACAAAGGGCCUGGGUGUUGGGCUGUUGCGGGGAGGGGGUUGGACUGGUGCCUGUGUGUCUGCCUGCCUUUCUUCCUUCCUCCAAAACAUUCGUUUCCCCUGAAGGUCACAACUAGUAUGGGGCUUCACUCAGCCUCGUGAGAAUGUCUCAGAGCACAAUGGGCCGCAAACAGUGUCCUCCCAGGAGAAAGGGGAGAAAUAACCUUCACGGAAGCUCCAUAGAAACAGGGGCUAUCACCACUCCCCCACGACCUAACUGGUCAAGUCAAAUGAGACAGAAGACUUCCUGGGGAAAGAAUUCAUUCAUUGUUACAGCAGACAAAGGACUGCACCUCCAGGAUACAACAGGAUCUCUGCUUUCAACAAAAUACACCUUUUAUUUUUAUUGAUAAAAUACAGAUACAGUGUAUAAAUAUAAAAAUAAACGAUAUGUGCACCAAAGCCAUUCAUUCCUUCCUUCGUGGCCUGUUGCUGAUGAAGCGGGGAGCAAACCCUGCCUGCUGGGCACGCUCCGGCUCCCUCUGAGAAGGCCGUUGCUGACCGCACGGACACCCAGAGACUCAGAGCUUUCCCUCGCUUACACACUUGCCCUCUGACGGCCAGGAAUGAGUCCCCAGGCCUCGAGGCCUUUCCUGCAGUCACGAGGCCAGGAACCGUGCGGGAAACUCCCCAAACCUGUGGUGUCAGAUUUUGCCUUUCCAUUUUUCUGCUGACUGCUCCUUUUCUGACAAAAGUACCUUUGGAGUGUUGGGGGUUUCAGAAAGAGAAGAUCAUGCCUUGUGAAAAUCCCACCUCCAAGUAGUAAUUGGGUACUUGUUAAUAACUUGAUAAUACUUGUUAUAAUCACAUCCAUGGCACUUUAAUGAUGGGCAGAAACUAAAAAGAAAAAGUUCAGGAAAACAGCAGUGGAGAUGCCGGGGAUCGAACCCGGGGCCUCAUACAUGCAAAGCAUGCGCUCUACCACUGAGCUACAUCCCCUGACCUUGCUUCUAGGUUUUCUGAAAUUCUCUGCUAUACUCUAUUCUUAAGAUUUUUUUUUUUCUAAAUUAGAAUUUUGUAUAGUAUUUAAAUGGAUGUUAGGGUUUAGCAAACGCAAACCAAAAUAAGUCAUUUUAUGUCUCCCAAGCAGACCCGUUCUUCACAGCCUUGCAGCUGAAAUUCUAGCUGACACCGGAAAUAGCCCUGUUCCUGAAUGUUUCUCCUCACAGACAGAAAAGAAGGGAAGGGAAAGGAAAGCUUCCUUCCAAUAAGCAGGAGUGUUGCCCUGACUGCACCUCCACCCAGAAAUCUCUGCUUUCCUGUCCUUUAAAUCCCUUCCAAGCUUCGGUGACUUUGAGGUUUCCACAUGUGCGUGAAGACCUUUUUUUCUCCCAAAAGAACUCUUCUGAAUAUAAAAAUGAGCAAACUAGAAGGAAGCAGAUCCAGCCCUCAGGAUGACGGGUUAAACUCUGAGGAAGGGACCUCUUUGCAACAGCCCACUGAAAAACGCCAUUCUCUACCUGUCAGGGAGCCCCUCUCUUCCAGAUACUUAGCAUCCUGCUGGGGUCACCAAGGGCUACCCAGUGGGGAAGGAGCAGGUGAGUGGCAAGGAGAGGGCUCCAAACUGAAGGCCACACCUCUUUCCACCAGCGCUUGAGAUUUCCUGGCAGGAAACAGUGACUUAGGGAGAACCCCACCCAAAAAUGUCCUGCCGGCUUGGUCCGCAGUCAGCUCCCUUCCAGCGUGCUGAGGCCUGACACCCUUUGCAGCUAAAGGCCUAAGUGAGCUGGUGCACAGGAUGCUGGACCCAGCAGCUGUGACUUCCUCUGGGCUCGUCUGUAAAAUGGAGAUGGAAUAGGACCUGCUUCACAGGGGGGUUGUGAGCAUUGAACGAGUUACACGUAGAAGCUUUAGAACAGUGCCUGGCACAGGGUCCGGGCUUGGAAACGUGAGUCGUCUUUAUUGUACACGUUGUUAGGAUGUGAAAUCCCGGGAAGGGCCCUGCGUCUCAUCUUCACCCCAGGUGUGAGCUGGUGCUUUGCUGAUGGUUUUAGUGAAGCAGAACAGAUGAGCAGGAGGGCAGCGGGGCGAGGUGCGGAAUAGGGCUCUACGUAAGCCGCUCUUUGUCCUUAUCCUCUAGCUCAAGGAGGUAGCCACGAGAGAGCGACCUUGGCCACAGAAAGAUGGCGCCACAGAUGGCGUUCUUUUGGACAGGGUUUGGGAGGGAGCUAAAGGGUUGUAUGCAGUUCUGGAAGUGCCCCUGCUUGCUCUCUCGCCAGACAGCUCUGCUCAAAGCAAACUCAGUUAUGUUUCCCCGCCGCAUAAAACUCUCGGAGUCAAAUCCAUACUCCGCACUCUGCCCUCUGUGAUCUGGCCUCUGUGGACCUUGCUAACAUCCCUGCUCUGCUCCUCCUCCCUGGGGGCCCUCCAGCCACAGCUGCCUGCUUGCUGUUCCCCAGGCAUGCCAGGCUCCUCUGCACCUCCGUGCCUUUGCACUUGCCAUUCCCUCUGCCUGGAAUGCGGUUCCCCAGAUCUCUGUGAUCGGCUCCUUCUCAUUGUCCAGGUCCUCGGAAAGGCCCUCCUGGCCUCCUCUCUAAAGGGCCGACGAAUCCCAUGCAUUGUUUUUCUUCACAGCAUCUGCCACCCUCAAAAGCUGUGUUUCUACUUGUUCACUGUCUGCGUCCCUCCGUCGCUCCCUGGCUCAGCAGGGCAGGGCCUAGUCUCCCUCCUGCUGGAUCCCCAGCGCCUGGCGCAUCCCGGGUGCCCAGCACCGAUGCGAGGGAUGAAUGUGAAGCGAACAGACAAACGCAGGAAGGCAGGCGCGGGAGCCUGGGAAGCGGGAGCGCUGUGUUCAGAGGUGGAGUCUGCAAGGUCAGAGGAGAAAACGUUCCUGUUUGGAGGCACCCCGCCUCCUGCCUCAAUCCCUAAACCUUUUCCGAGAGCCAGGCUCUGGGCUGGAAGGACGUAGGAAGAGGGGAGGUUUGCAGCCGAGCGAGCAGCUCCGGGCUGAGAACCUGACGGUUUCUGGGAAACGAUCAUGUACAGCUAACGCUCUGCGGCCGCGCCGUGGGCCUGCAGGAAUCGAAAACACCGCUUCAGCGAAAGAACGGGGACUCUUUUUUGCAACCACGUGACACUGGGGAGCCAGAGCGUGCCUGGGACUAAGCUGCCGAAAGGCAACUGCUGUCAGGGGGAGUGUCGCCUGCCUGUCGGGUGUAUUCUUCGCGAGGAGAAUAAGGAAUUUCUACGGCAGUUGGAGAAUUUUAUUUGUUUAGAAGAAAAAAGAAAAAAAUAGAGACGAAUGGUAAAACAUAGACAGCCUCCCCGUCGGGGAAUCGAACCCCGGUCUCCCGCGUGACAGGCGGGGAUACUCACCACUAUACUAACGAGGACGGGCGCUACCCGCCGCUCCUCAGACCUCCCCUUUAAGGCAUGCUUAGCUUCCCCUAAAUAGUAAUAUGUUUCCAAUGGUUCAAUAUUUUAUCUUUUCCUACAAAACCAAAGAAUGCAAAGUCCCGUUUGGCUUAAUUCCGUCUUAAAGAAGCCGUUUCCUGCCGGAUCCUUGAUUUAGCCGCUAGGUUCAGACAGCAGACGUUAAUAAACAGCAAAAACUAACGGACAGACAUCAACAAACAUGCAACAGAGAUUAAUAAACGUUUACGAAAUUAAAGAAAUGGGGUCAGGAAAAACUCGGCCUUGGUGGAUAUCCCCGGAUGAGGAGUUGCGCGCAAGUUUCCAUCCCUCUGGCUUCCCGUGGCUGCUGCUCGGAGCUGUUUGAAACUAAAAAAGUGAAAUGUCUUCGUUCAUUGGGAAGAAUCGGCUUCGUCUAUUCACUCCCUGCCCCCCGCCUCUUUCUCUUGGGGGAAAGACAAAAAAAAAAAAAAAAAAAAGCCACCAGCUGCCGAAACCCGGGAUCGAACCAGGGACCUUUAGAUCUUCAGUCUAACGCUCUCCCAACUGAGCUAUUUCGGCCACUGUUGGCGGUCGGCUGCGAUUCUCUCCUCCUCGUCGUCCUGACGGCCCUGGGUCUUCGACUUGGGGACCAGAUGCCGCGAGACCAGGAGCAGGUGGAACCCGUGACCGCCAGGCUCGCCCUGCACCUGCCCCUUCGCGUCCUUUAAGGCCACCGCCUCCAAGAAGCCUUCCCUGACCACUCCUCCAAACAAGACCCCAGCCCCUUAUUGUUUGUUAGCUUAUGUAUUGUUUUCCUUUUCCAAUACCUGUCUCUCCAGCUAGGACAGACCCAGGAGGAGCAGGGAAGUCAUCUGCCUGUGUCACUGCUGUAUCCCUCAGGGCCUGGAGCAGUGCCUGGCACAUAACAGGUGCUUAAUAAAUAUUUGCUGAAUUAAUGAACGAAAGAACGAAUGAAUGAAUCCUACUUGGCUCAGAGCUUUGCUUUUUCAAGCUCCCUUCUCUGUGCGAAGAAACAAGGCCAGCUUCCCAAGCAGCCCAAGGUAUGGCAGGGAUGCUGACCACGCCAAGGCGCGUGGGAGGACGCAUUGGCCAGAAGGUGGCUUUCCUUGGGGCCAUGAGUGACUCACAUCCGGCCUGCAAUCACGGCGGCCGCACCUGUGGCCCCUGCGGCACCUGCUCGGCAGCCUGGCAUGGGGACACCGACAGGUGGGCAUCAGGGUUCAGAUCUGCAUCCCUCCCCUUUGGGCAAUGGGUGGGUGGGGAGUGUUGUCUGGGAGCUGAUGAGCAAGUGGGGAGGUCCUUCAUGAUGUGUUUGCUGAGCACCCAGUGACCCUCUGGCCCAUCCACAAAUACAGUAACAGGAUAGUUGGGUACAAGAGUAAUGCUGAGAAGUACAAUAAAUCGUCGUGAUGGGGUGGGAUGCCAGGGGUGGGAGCAGGACGAGAAGAGAGAGGAGGAGAGAGCUGGGAAGACCUGAACAGUGAAGAGCCAGCUGUGCCGGGAGCUGCAGGGAGAGCCUCUGGGCAGAGGGGACAGCAGGGGCAAAGGCCCUGAGGCUGAAACAAGGUCAACUAGUUGGAGCAACAGAAAGAAAGUCAGCCUGGAAGAGCUGAAGAGGGGAAGGGGGGUGUAUCUGAUGCAGCAGUAAUGGAAAGGAAGGGUGAAGGAUGACACCAAGGGGCUGGUCUGCACUACCAGGCAGCUGCUGGAUGCUCUGGAGCCAGGGCGGGAGCACCGCAGGCUGAGUGCGGGAAUCGAGACUCUGUCACAGAGGCCUGAGGUUUUGAGACGCCAGCUAGACUUCCAAAUGGAAACUCGGAGAUGGCCAUUUUCCUGAACUUGCGGGAGCAAACCAGAGUCCUCUCAGUGUCCCCAAACCCAAUGUGAUGGGCUGAAUUGUGCCCCCUCCGAAUUCCUGUGUUGAAGCCCUAACCCCAGCCACCUCAGAACGCGGCCGGAUGUGGAGACGGGGCCUCUAAAGAGGUGAUGAAGUUAGAAGGGGUCGUUCCUCCAGCAGGACUGGUAUUCUUCUAAGAGGAGGCUAAGACACGGACCCAGAGGGACUGCCAUGUGAGGUCGCAGCGCCAAGUCAGCCCCCUGCACGCCAGGGACAGGCCUCAGGAGAAACCAAACGCCAGCACCUCCAUCUCAGACUUCCAGCCUCCAGGACUCAGAGAAUACAUCUGUGGUUUAAGCCACUCCAUCUGUGGUGUUUUGUUUUGGAAGCUGCGGCAACUAAUACACCCGCCUGCCCGUCCUAACACCUACCGUGGCUGCAUUUUCCUGGAUGGGGGAAGAUUUCUGAUUUCAAGGGUCUGGGAGAAAUAGGAAUGUCUGUCUCCCUUCUGGAAUCCUUGGCUCCCUCUCUAUCGAGAAUAGGUCCCCUUCUGAAGAUCCUCCUGCAGAGGCCUUGCAAAUGGCCUCUCAGAGGUACAGCCCAGUGUGUUCAUUUCUGAUCAGGUGUCAGGUCUGGCCAGAUCCAGCUCCAAACAGCCAGACCAGCAGUACAGCACACCCAGCCUUGCACAUCUGAGAGAAGAGCAGGCUUCAGUGUCCAUUGGGCAUGAAUCUACAGUGAUCCUAAAGCAAAAUGUGUUUUGGAAAUGUAAUUGAUGUCAUUAACAACUGAGAAGGUAAAAUGCUAUCCCAGUCUCAUGACCAUUGUUACUACUUUUUAAAAUGGUUUAUUCACUUUGUUUUGUUUCCUCAUAAUUUCUUUCCCAAUCAUUCAGUUCAUGCAGUCUGUCCCGUUCUUCUCAAACAUGUCAGCCCAAUGACCAGGAGAGAGGAAGCUGGCAACAAACAUUUGUUGAAUAAAUGAGUCACGAGGUCAUCAUUACUGUGUCUCCUGGGGCUGCUGUAACGAAUGACCACAAACUGGAUUUAUUCUCACAGUUUAGAGGCUAAAAGUCUGAAGUCAAGGUGUCCGCAGGGUUGGUUCCUCCUGGAGGCUUCGAGGAUGAAACCUCUCGGAGCUCCUGGUGUGGCGGGCAAUCCUCGGCACUCCUCGGCUUUUAGAUGCAUCGCUCCAUCGCUCCCCCGUCGGCCCCUGUCCUUCUACGUCUC
Equus caballus (horse) is the source of this 9387-nucleotide non-coding RNA. Lineage: Eukaryota; Metazoa; Chordata; Mammalia; Perissodactyla; Equidae. The record is from RefSeq and is a predicted model, not a curated record.